This is a non-coding RNA of Cricetulus griseus (Chinese hamster), 3560 nucleotides long. NCBI's taxonomy places the organism in Eukaryota, Metazoa, Chordata, Mammalia, Rodentia, Cricetidae. The record is from RefSeq and is a predicted model, not a curated record.
CAUACCUCAUAAUAUUACUGAUUCUCUGCUCUAAGUACUGAGCAAUGGAACAAAGACCUAGAAAAAGAAAAAAAAAGAGAAGAGGAAAGCCAAUCAGAAAAACAAAGAAAUUCAGACAGAUGGUGCAGAAUCUGGAAAGAGAAGCUAGAAUGACAGGUAAGGCAAAGGAAGAAGAAAGAAAAAGACUGAAGCUUCCAUGUGGAAGGCGAGUGCAAAAUUCCCAAGUAACAAGGAAGGAAUCGAUGCACUGAUACAGUGAAACACCAGCAGUAUUUAAGUAGAUUUGUAUUUGUUCAAAUGUAUAAUUUCAAGUAUUUUCCCAGCCUUUGGUAGAGACAUUUACUUAAGUAAAAAUCCAAUCAUUGUUGAAGACAUAAUAAGAAAGUAAAAGCUGGGCAUUGGUGGCAUACACCUUUAAUCCCAGCUCUUGGGAGGCAGAGGCAGGUGGAUCUCUGUGAGUUUGAGGCCUGCUUGGUCUCCAGAGUGAGUGCCAGGGUAGGCUCCAAAGCUACACAGAGAAACCCUGUCUCAACGCCCCCCCCCAGAAGAAAGUAAAGACAGGUUGAAAGGCUAUGGAACUUAUUGAUAUUCUUCAUUUACUGGGUAUGGUUUCUCCUAUAUUAGAAUGAACAUGGUAAUAUGUUGUCAUUACUGGAUCUCAAGCCACAUUUAUUUUGAGGGAAUGCUGAUGUCAUUACUUCAUUGAAAAUUCUGUUAACUGUGAUAUAAUUUCAGAAUGAGCAUAGCAGUUGCUUAGACCCCUAGGCCCUUGGUUAUUUUCUGUUGGACCUGCACUACAGGAGCAAAGCUGGAUGUUUCUUCUGUAGUGAAUGCAGUUCAAUAUCUUCACCUUCCCAGACAGAGCCUCAGUAGAUGAGGCUUGCUCUCAUUCAGUCUGCUGGAGAACAUCAGACACUGUCAGGUCCUGGCUCUCUUAAAGGUGCUCUUAGAAGAUUUAAUCCGUAAUGUCAAGCAAAUCACAGAAGGAUGGAAAACAAAAUGUGAUUCAUGUAAAUGAGGAAGUAAAGAAGUUCUGAUAGAUCUUUGCAAAGAGUGCUGAGAAAGAUCCCGGAGCCCAGACUGAGAGGGUAAGGAUGAUUCGUGCAUUUGGGGAUUUCCUUAAUGCACUGGCAGCCGCCUUAGGAAGGCUUUCCCAGAAAGGUGAAGAAAAUCUCAGAGGUCAAAGUGACAUACAAAAGUUGUGACACGGGACCUAUUGAGUCAAUUUGAAAUGUUCUGCAUGAAGGGGGGAUCUCCAGCACUGUUGCUGGGUAUUCUAGGGUAGGCUGUGGGCAGGAAGGACUACAUGAGUAUGUGGGUGGCUUUCCCCCUUUCUUUUCUUUAUCAGCCUUUCCUACUGAGUGUGUGCUUGAGAGGUCCAAAGUGAAGGAUAAGCAAGGAUGAGGUGUGACUAGAGCUGACAUGCAGCUGCUCUACAGAGACAAGGCAGGUGCACUUUUGUCUACAGCUGGGCCUUGGCACAGCUGGACAAGGCUCUGCUUUUACAUUUCUUACUUAGGCCUGGAGUCAAGUUAGACAGACUGGGUGCCACUAUCAGAGGGCCUAUUUGUGACCCUGUGCUUAAGCAAUUUCCUCAUCAAUAACGAUUUGUCAUUGAGCUUAUGGUUAUUUGAUGCCCCUUGGUCUUCCUCUCGCUUCUUACUUUGUGUACCCACAGCUGUUGCAAAAUUGUAUAAAAGACCCAGGGACUGAUACUGGGGUACAAGCUUCAAGAUGAAGACCAGAAAAGCAAAGAGGCUGGUCACUAGAUCUUACUCUACCUCAGUCUGGAAGUCAAUCCUGGCUCCACCAAACCUUAGACUGCUGCCUCUCCUUGUGGCUGGAGAAAGCUGAGAUUUCAAUGUCUUCCUAUCCUCAAUGUGUCUGGAUAAUGUAUAACUGAUACUAUCACCACGCCAAGCAUUUUUCACAUUUCAAUGUGAAUGCUAGAGUGGCAAAUACCAGUACCAUGUUAAUAAGUUGCCAAUGAUCUAUUUAAAAUGGGCCAUAGGGAGGAACCACCAUCUGCCUCAAUUCAAAUUGCUUCAUUGCCUAUAUUACUCAUGUCUGGCACAAAAUUUUAAGCCCAACUGGCUUCAAGCAGUGUCCACAACUAGAAGAAAGCUCAUUGUCAUUAGUUUGGAAAAUGCUCUCAGGUUCCAGACGUGAAAAAGUCAUAGAGUUAGAAACAGGCAGAGAGUUUUUCUAAAAAAAAAUCAUUACAAUACUUUCUAUUCAGACAAGGUAUUUAGGAAAUCUUUCGACUGAAAUCAGCAUUUCUCAAAUCAUUCAAUUGCUUUCUUUCUAUGAGAUGAUAUGUUGAAUGGUAUCUCAUUACUCCCAAACUCAGUUCAUAUCCAUCAGAAGCCUAUAUGCACGUGACCCUGCUUUGUAUCUAUUCAUCCUUCAAAACUAAAGAGUGGCUGAAUGUCUUUCAGGAAGACUACAAUGUUUGUUUAUUAUCCUAUUUAUAAGUAUCAAUUUCUGCUGAAGAAGACACACAGGAUGAGACAUAAGAUUGGAUACAGAAACAAGUAGCUUCAAGAGCAUCUUAAACAGUGGGAGCUGUGUAUGGUGACAUAUUAUUUAUGAUUUAUUAAAGCUUGCCUGAGGAUUCAGAAAGCAAAGUCAUCCUCAAGCUAUAGAGAUCAAGCAGUGAUGAUACACACCAGCAGCCAGAAGCUAGAAGAGAAGAAGAUAACGUCAUUGAUUGUGGGCUAGGAAAGGAAGGACAUCUUUCAACUGUGAAGUUGAAACAAAACAAAACAAACAAACAACCUUAUACUAUGCACAAUAAAAAGUAGUAAAAGUUGGAAUUAAAUCCCAAGUGAAGUGUCCUCUUCUAAAUGGCUUUGGUGGUUAGAAUAAGAGAGUAGUCCUUUAAGCCCUUAAACACCAAUUUUGCAAUGACACUGAUACUGACAAAGGAAGCAGACCAUGUCUGUGACACCCAUGAGCAUCUUCUUGUGAGAACAAAGAUCCAGGUUAAGAGGCCAUUGUUACAAUCUAGGUGAGAAAUGGUUCUGACUUGAACUUGAGUGGCAGUUGGUGGAAUUGGAGUUUUUCCAAAUGUGGUUAGAUUCUCUGUGUAUUUUGAAGUCAGAGCCAACAGUAUCCACCAAAGAUAAACCGUGUCAGGGAGAAGAAUCAAAGGCAACUCAAAAGUUUUGAUCUGAGCAAUAGAAAUGGGGAGCUGGCAAUCACUGAGAUGGAGAACGUUGUGGAUGGAACACAUUUCAGGGAGACGUUUCAAUUUCAGAUAUGUUAAAUUUGAGUUGUCAGCUAGAAAUCCAAGUGGGAUUGUUGGGCAGGCAGUUGGAUAUGUGAGUCUGAAGUUUGUGAGAGAGGUCUGGACUAGAGAGAAAAUUUGGAAUUCAUUAGCAUAGAAAUAGCAUUUUAAGCUAUGCAACUGGAAGAGUAUCAUGGGAGUGACUGUUCUGAAGAAAAGAUGAGGUUUAAAAAUACUAGAAUACUCUGAUACUACCAUGGAAAAUAUAAAGCAGAAGAGAGUCAUAGGAAUUCAUAAAGAGAUUAGAAUUUUUAGCUGGAUAGUGCUCAAG